RNAcentral lists this ribosomal RNA (542 nucleotides) under uncultured bacterium. Its description in RNAcentral is "bacterial SSU rRNA". It matches the Rfam family "Bacterial small subunit ribosomal RNA", at positions 356 to 896 of the family's 1533-position model. The record is from RNAcentral.
GAGGAAUAUUGGUCAAUGGGCGAGAGCCUGAACCAGCCAAGUAGCGUGCAGGAUGACGGCCCUAUGGGUUGUAAACUGCUUUUAUGUGGGGAUAAAGUGAGCUACGUGUAGUUUAUUGCAGGUACCACAUGAAUAAGGACCGGCUAAUUCCGUGCCAGCAGCCGCGGUAAUACGGAAGGUCCAGGCGUUAUCCGGAUUUAUUGGGUUUAAAGGGAGCGUAGGCCGUGGAUUAAGCGUGUUGUGAAAUGUAGACGCUCAACGUCUGAAUUGCAGCGCGAACUGGUUCACUUGAGUAUGCACAACGUAGGCGGAAUUCGUCGUGUAGCGGCGAAAUGCUUAGAUAUGACGAAGAACUCCGAUUGCGAAGGCAGCUUACGGGAGCACAACUGACGCUGAAGCUCGAAGGUGCGGGUAUCAAACAGGAUUAGAUACCCUGGUAGUCCGCACAGUAAACGAUGGAUGCCCGUUGUUAGUUCACUUAUGAAUUAGCGACCAAGCGAAAGCAUUAAGCAUCCCACCUGGGGAGUACGCCGGCAACGGUG